RNAcentral lists this long non-coding RNA (1673 nucleotides) under Monodelphis domestica (gray short-tailed opossum). RNAcentral's name for it is "lncRNA (ENSMODG00000042489.1)". Lineage: Eukaryota; Metazoa; Chordata; Mammalia; Didelphimorphia; Didelphidae. The record is from RNAcentral.
GGGCUGCCCGUCUGAAGGGCCAGGGCGAGGUCCACAGGGGCUGCCCGUCUGAAGGGCCAGGGCGAGGUCUACAAGGGCUGCCCGUCUGAAGGGCCAGGGCGAGGUCCACAGGGGCUGCCCGUCUAGAGGGCCAGGGCGAGGUCUACAAGGGCUGCCCGUCUGAAGGGCCAGGGCGAGGUCUACAAGGGGCUGCCCGUCUGGAGGGCCAGGGCGAGUGGCUGGCGCGGGUCGUGGUCGUGCUGCGGAGCCCGAGCGCCGGUCACUGUCCAGCACGGGCCGGAGGGCACGGGCCGGCCGGGAUGGGCGGCCACGCUGGGCUCCCUCUGGAAAGGGAAUCUCGGGCCUUGGUAAGAGGCGGGGCUUCACUUCUGGAAUAAGCUGGAGACUAUGGAGAAGAAGCCGGCCAGGACCUCGGCGCCUGGGGCCCUGGAGAUGGAGGUCUCCGGUUCAAAUCCAGCCUGAGACACGGCCUACGUGGGUGACCCUGGACGAGUCCUCACCCCUCAUUGCCUAGCCCUGUGGCGUAAUUUCUGACCGUGGGAUGCCCUGUAGAUCCACGGAGUCCGUCUCCAGGCCAGGAAGACCCCGAGCCCGGGGCGAGACCUUCCCGUACAGCCCAAGAGUCCUUCAGGACAGGGAUCAAAGUAGAGACGGGCCCGGAAGGCCCCCUCCUGGGCCCAAGAGGCCGCUGGAGAGCGAGGGGAGGCCCUGUGUGAGGGGAGGCCCGGUGGCGCGGGUCCCAGCGAUGGAUGGUGAGCUCCAGCGGUCACUCGCACCCCGCAGCCCUGCCGCAGCAAUUCUCCCCAGGGAGGGUUUCACCGUGUGCGUGCGUGGACCCCGCCGCUGUCCUGGGGACCCGAGGGCCUUGCUCUGCCUGGGCCCCAGAGGGGGAGCUGGAAUGCCCCCCGGCCCGGCCUGGCCCAGCCUUCGCCGCCUCUGACACGGGGCCUCCCUCGAGCCUUUCCGGUCUCGUUUCACGUUCACGCGCCGCUUGCUCUGUCCUCGGCUCGCUUGAGCGCAAGCUCCUUGCCGACGAGGGACGCCGUGUUUGCCUUUGCGUCCACCUCCCAGCCAGCCUCAUCCUUACGGAGGGCUCCGGCGUGGAGCUCCUGUCGGGGCCGGCGGGCUUCUCCCCAUCCCCACGGCCGUGCCCUGCAGCGGCUGCUCUGAGCUCUGCACGCAGAGCCAGGGCCCCGGGAAGGGCCAGCGGCGGGGGCAGCCUUCUCGCCGAUGGGGCCCUCCCGGGCGGAGAAGCCCAGGUCCCCGGAGGUGCCGCUGCCUUUCGCCGCGCCGGCCUGCAGCCACCUGCUGGCCCUCCGCCUGCAGCCACCUGCUGGCCCUCCGCCGUCAGGCCCAGGCUGGGGCCCCGCCGACCUCAUGCAGGCCUCAGGCCCUCACGCAGGCCUCAGGCUGGCCCCGCCGACCUCGCGCAGGCCUCAGGCCCUCACGCAGGCCUCAGGCUGGCCCCGCCGACCUCGCGCAGGCCUCAGGCCGGGGCCCCGCCGACCCUGGAACUGGGGGAGGCGGUCCUGCCGGAGGCCCUGGAGGGGAGACCGAUGCUUGUCCUGCUCUCUGAAGGCCAAAGGCGCCGGGCGCCAGCCGGAGGGGCUCGUCCAGCUCUGAGGCUUGUGGACACCUUCGACGCUGGAUUUCACGCUGCUUUUCUGACGUGA